UAGGGAAUAUUGGACAAUGGGGGCAACCCUGAUCCAGCCAUGCCGCGUGAGUGAAGAAGGCCCUCGGGUUGUAGAGCUCUUUUGUCCGGAAAGAAAAGCUUCGGGUUAAUACCCCGGGGUUCUGACGGUACCGGAAGAAUAAGCACCGGCUAACUUCGUGCCAGCAGCCGCGGUAAUACGAAGGGUGCAAGCGUUACUCGGAAUUACUGGGCGUAAAGCGUGCGUAGGUGGUUGUUUAAGUCGGAUGUGAAAGCCCUGGGCUCAACCUGGGAAUGGCAUUGGGAACUGGGCAGCUAGAGUGCGGUAGAGGGUAGUGGAAUUCCCGGUGUAGCAGUGAAAUGCGUAGAGAUCGGGAGGAACAUCUGUGGCGAAGGCGACUGCCUGGACCAGCACUGACACUGAGGCACGAAAGCGUGGGGAGCAAACA
Molecule: ribosomal RNA, 427 nt
Filed under: uncultured bacterium
Lineage: Bacteria
Description: bacterial SSU rRNA
Rfam family: Bacterial small subunit ribosomal RNA
Source: RNAcentral